This 859-nucleotide ribosomal RNA is filed under the name uncultured archaeon. Its description in RNAcentral is "bacterial SSU rRNA". It matches the Rfam family "Archaeal small subunit ribosomal RNA", at positions 1 to 861 of the family's 1478-position model. The record is from RNAcentral.
UUUUCCGGUUGAUCCUGCCGGAGGUUACUGCUAUCGGGGUUCGAUUAAGCCAUGCGAGUCAAAUGUUCUUCGUGAACAUGGCGAACUGCUCAGUAACACGUGGAUAAUCUACCCUUAGGUUUGGAAUAACCCCGGGAAACUGGGGAUAAUACCGGAUAGAUCAUAGAUGCUGGAAUGCCCUAUGGUCUAAAGCUCCGGCGCCUAAGGAUGAGUCUGCGGUCUAUCAGGUUGUAGUGGGUGUAACGUACCUACUAGCCGACGACGGAUACGGGUUGUGAGAGCAAGAGCCCGGAGAUGGAUUCUGAGACACGAAUCCAGGCCCUACGGGGUGCAGCAGGCGCGAACACUUUACAAUGCGGGAAACCGCGAUAAGGGAACCCCGAGUGCCAGCACCAAGUGUUGGCUGUCCAGAUGAUUAAAUCUCAUUUGUUAGCAAGGGCCGGGCAAGACCGGUGCCAGCCGCCGCGGUAACACCGGCGGCCCGAGUGGUAACCGUUUUUAUUGGGUCUAAAGGGUCCGUAGCCGGUCUGAUCAGUCUUUUGGGAAAUCUGGCAGCUUAACUGUCAGGCUUCUAAGAGAUACUGUCAGACUUGGGACCGGGAGAGGUAAGGGGUACUCCAAGGGUAGGAGUGAAAUCUUGUAAUCCUUGGGGGACCAUCUGUGGCGAAGGCGCCUUACCAGAACGGGUCCGACGGUGAGGGACGAAAGCUAGGGGAGCAAACCGGAUUAGAUACCCGGGUAGCCCUAGCUGUAAACGAUGCUCGCUAGGUGUCAGGCACGGUGCGUCCGUGUUUGGUGCCGUAGGGAAGCCGAGAAGCGAGCCACCUGGGAAGUACGGUCGCAAGGCUGAAACUUAAAG